Molecule: long non-coding RNA, 617 nt
Organism: Perca fluviatilis (European perch)
Lineage: Eukaryota; Metazoa; Chordata; Actinopteri; Perciformes; Percidae
Exons: 3
Source: RefSeq, a predicted model, not a curated record
UCCGAUUGACACAGAAUGGCGGCCGGCUGGUCACAAACAAUCUUGUAUAACAGUUAAACGUCUGUGGUUACAGUGAAACAGCAUUUGACGCAGAACGCAUAACUUGGAGGUUUUUCUGCUGGCCUACAUGAUGUACGUGACGAUUGGUCAGGUUGCAGCCUUGGAGAAACAGCCCCCAGAUGGUCUUCAGGAGCUUUCUGGCACAUCUCCAGGAUGCUGACCCAGAGCAUUGAAAGGUUGAGCACUGGCAGCGAUCUGACUGAUUCUGCCCAGCUGCUGACGUGCAGAGCAGCGCACAUUGAUACGAGGACAAAAAUAGCUUGCUGGGAUACACAGCUUGACGCAACUGUUCAGAAUUAAAAUCACUGCCAAUUUAUUCUGUCCAACGUCAACUUUCUAUGAGAUGACAACCGUCACAGUGUAGAAAUAUUUAGUUAUUGUGUAUAAAGGAUGUUUGAGUUAAUUUCGUUUGAUCUGUGCUAUCACUGUCCUAAGUGGAGGCUUUAGAAAAAAUCUAGUUUGUAAGACUGGUCGGGUGCAAUCUAUUUGAAAUGAGAGCAGUUAAAAUAUUCAGAAAAGAAGUAACCCCAAGUCAAGUUAUGUGUGCCCUCCUCAUC